UAGGGAAUCUUCCGCAAUGGGCGAAAGCCUGACGGAGCAACGCCGCGUGAGUGAAGAAGGUCUUCGGAUCGUAAAACUCUGUUAUUAGGGAAGAACAAAUGUGUAAGUAACUAUGCACGUCUUGACGGUACCUAAUCAGAAAGCCACGGCUAACUACGUGCCAGCAGCCGCGGUAAUACGUAGGUGGCAAGCGUUAUCCGGAAUUAUUGGGCGUAAAGCGCGCGUAGGCGGUUUUUUAAGUCUGAUGUGAAAGCCCACGGCUCAACCGUGGAGGGUCAUUGGAAACUGGAAAACUUGAGUGCAGAAGAGGAAAGUGGAAUUCCAUGUGUAGCGGUGAAAUGCGCAGAGAUAUGGGGGAACACCAGUGGCGAAGGCGACUUUCUGGUCUGUAACUGACGCUGAUGUGCGAAAGCGUGGGGAUCAAACAGG
Molecule: ribosomal RNA, 429 nt
Filed under: Actinomycetes bacterium
Lineage: Bacteria; Bacillati; Actinomycetota; Actinomycetes
Description: Actinobacteria bacterium partial 16S ribosomal RNA
Rfam family: Bacterial small subunit ribosomal RNA
Source: RNAcentral